Molecule: ribosomal RNA, 140 nt
Filed under: uncultured bacterium
Lineage: Bacteria
Description: partial 16S ribosomal RNA
Rfam family: Bacterial small subunit ribosomal RNA
Source: RNAcentral
CCAUGCCGCGUGUGUGAAGAAGGUCUUCGGAUUGUAAAGCACUUUAAGUUGGGAGGAAGGGCAGUAAGUUAAUACCUUGCUGUUUUGACGUUACCGACAGAAUAAGCACCGGCUAACUCUGUGCCAGCAGCCGCGGUAAU